Molecule: non-coding RNA, 80 nt
Organism: Termitomyces sp. 'cryptogamus'
Lineage: Eukaryota; Fungi; Basidiomycota; Agaricomycetes; Agaricales; Lyophyllaceae
Source: the annotation of a GenBank genome assembly
GGGUCGAUGGCGUAGUUGGUUAUCGCAUCUGUCUUACAUGAUUUCACAGAAGGUCCUCAGUUCGAGCCUGGGUCGACUCA